Molecule: long non-coding RNA, 11537 nt
Filed under: Prunus persica (peach)
Lineage: Eukaryota; Viridiplantae; Streptophyta; Magnoliopsida; Rosales; Rosaceae
Description: long non-coding RNA (PPER_LNC000318)
Source: RNAcentral
UGCUAUUGAUAAAAUUAUUGGAUGGUUCACUUUUUUUUUUUUUUUUUGUAAUAGUAAAGAAAAGUCUAAAAGGAGAGGAGGCUACCGAUUUCAUGGUCAAGGUACUAAGACCUCUUUGAGGAUGGUCAAGGCAUACUAAGAUCUCUUUGAGAAUGACUCAAAUCUAGACCUUACUAGCGAAGAGAACGUUCGUUACCAAAUCAACUAACCAUCAUUUGGAUGGGUCGCUUUAAUGUUGCUGCCAACAUGACUUGUGAGGCUUUUGGACAAGUCUCUCAUCACAAGAUAGAAUUUUGGCUAGUCUGCCGUACUGGUUUCUGAUCCGGGCAUAUAGAGUAGAUACAAAUUGGGGGUGCUACGGGAAAAAGAUCUUGGCCUUUUUCUUAUAGCUAUGAAAAUAUCCUCGAGCCAGAAAUUUGACGAGAUUUUAAAUAAAUUUAAUGAAGAAAAUGACAGGAUAUCUCUCUGUUAUCCAUAUUGGCUUGAGGUUACUCAAAAGAAUUACCAACUAGGUGGUCGAUCAAAAACAUUUAAUUUAGAUUUGAUAUACGAGAAAUGAAUGAUUAUAUGACCAAAUCUCGUUUUCAUUAGGCUAUAGGGCAUAAAGGGUGGCUUGAACAAAAGGGCAGAAUGUUGGGAAUUCCACUUUUUAAGGAGAAGUCAGAAGCAUGCAUAUGACCUCUCACCACAUAAAGGAGACCGUAAGAGCUUUAACAACAUGAUUUGGAAGCCCACUUAAGUCAAAGACUUGAGUAUACAAUCCGUAAGUGCAUUACUAACCAACGACAGGUUUAACAUUCGUUAGAUUUGAACAAAUGAUUCAGAUCACAUGAUCAUAUGAUCACAUUAUGCAGUAAGCCCAAAUGAGUAACUCACUAACAUAUUUUCGUUUGCGAACUAUUCGGAUUAUGAAAUUACAUAACAUGAUAUACGACCGGUGAAAAUAAGUGGUUAAGAUUGAGUGUUAGUAAUAUCAUUCAAUGCAUAUUUAAUUCUGUAAUAAUAAGAUUUUUGUUGCUUAUGUUUUGUGAAAGCAGAUGCAUCGUUUUGAAGUUAAGGUUUAGUAUACAAUAAAAUAUUUAAAUUCAGAAUCUAAUCUAACAAAAUAAUGAUUAAAUUUUGCUAAACCAAAUUAAUGAAAGUCGUCAUUUUUUUUCGAUUCAGCGUACAAUAAGUUUCUCAUAUACUGCCAAAGUGUCAUGAGAAUUUGAACUUGAAAUCAUUAGUCUUUUUUAUUAGACUACACCCCAUUAACAACUGCCAUAUUUUUUUAGUAGAAUAUAAGUAUAGAAUUUUGAGUCAUAAAUAUGUCCUAAUUAUCCGAGUUGAACAAUGAGACAAAGCACACUCGGUGUUCAAAAUCGCUUGCAUGAUAUGAAUAGAGAUUGAGAUCUUAAUCAAGUACCGCCCUAGCCAGCUUUAUCAAGUCCCGCCCUAUAUAAGUGGGUCGAUUGAUACAUGGAGAUGGAGGAAAAGAAAGGUGGGAAUUGGCGGGAUCCGGAAAACAUGGCAAUGCUAAAAGGCCAAAUGGGUCCCACUAGAAGAGAAAUUUGAGGCCAGUGUAAUUUGGCUUUGCCUAAAGAGAAAUUGAGAAAAGAUAGCCCUCCACAUGGGGGCGUUAAAGGUUUGCCCUUUUCAAGGAGGAAUACUCUCGUGCAAUUGAGAUAACAAUUUUCAUUAUUUUUGAUGAACAACAUAAAGAUACGAGGACUAAUAUUUUCACAUGUCAUUGUGUUAUUGAUUAAGGAUAGCAAAAUAGUGUUAUUAUUAAUAUAAGAAAGAUUUUUUCCUUUCUAAAACUCUCUUUAAGUGCAUCUGUAAAUUACAAGGGAUUUGUAUCUCAAAUAAUUAAAAACAAUUAUCUCUACACCUAAAAUUAUAUUUUUGAUCCACAAUUCCGUCCAAAAAAUCACGUGUCUUUUAUGUGACUUGCUGAUGUUUUAUUAUUAUUAUUAAAUAUUUAGAAAAUAAAAAAAUGAAACAAAGAAAGAAAAAGAAAUAUUUAAAAAUAAAAAUAAAGGGAACCCGGCCACCCCUCAUCCCCUCCUUCCCUUGGCAAGAUUAAUUUUGGUGUUGCUGAUUGCAACAAUAAUGACAAUCAUAAGCUCAUCAUCUAUAUAUAUAAAGCAAAAGGCAGAGAAUUGUGAAACAUUCAAAAUACCAGAAAAUGCCCUUGGUUAAUGCAAACAUUAAGAAUUAAAAUUAUUAAUUAAAUGAGGAUAAUAUGGUAAAUUCAUAAUUUUUCAUAUUAAAAAAAUUAAAAUUAAAAGAAAAUUCAUAUAAUGGAUCCUAUUUUUAUGGAACCAACUAUCCAUUAUCUUUUUUAAUUCUAAAAUAAAUUUAAAUUUUUUUAAAAAAAAACCUCUCGCAGGCGCAGAAGCGCGUGCAGAGAGGCUAGUCUACAUAGUUACAGAAGUUGCAGCACCAAUAGUUGAAAAAUAUAAAGUCUUACAUAAGAAACUUAAUUUAAUAAAUUACAAUUUAUAAUAAGUGGUUUCAUUCCUAAUAACACCGAGGUCUUAUGUGAUAAAAUCCUAUUUAUUGGGCUUUGUAGGUAGUUCAGUUGAGAAAAAUAUCGGUGUUGCUAGUAAUGAGUUGCUCCCCAACCUAAACCCAAACUCCAACCCAGACCGGCCACACCUUGAUUGGGUGUGGCUACCAACCGGCUACAACUUGACUAGGUGUUGACAUCGACCCGAUCGACUCCAAUUCAAACUAAUUUUCUGCUGCUUGCAUACCCAGAUGAUUAAAUUCAGUGUAAAUUUGACUCCAUGUGUGGCCCACUAUAUCAGUAAACACAUUGAAAUUCCAACAAUUGUAAUUGAGCUUAUUGUCUCUUUUUUCUUUCUUCUGAAAAUUUCAAAAUCCAAAUAAGUAAUCAUAGUUAGCGAUAUAUGGCUACAUGCGUGGACAAAUUUUUGGUGGGAUUACAUUGGAUGGACGGUUCCCUACUUUUUCAUGGGUGUCUAAGAAAAUUAGGGUUUGAGAGGUACAUAUCACAUGUGCAUGUGGCCCUAACUUUUGCCAUUUUUCUCUACCUCUCCAUUAAAACAUUUCGUAUGUAGAAACCAAUCUUCUGCAAAUGUCUGGCAGCUUAAGAUUGCGAUAUAUAUCAUGUAGAAAAUAUAAUGCUGAGACCACAUUGUCAACGGUUAGAUUUGAAUCUCAAGUUCGAUUUCGAUUUCGAUUUUGCUUUUGCAUUGGCAUAUUGGCAAUUUGGCAUGCCCCUCAAUAUCCGACUACUUAAUUAUUCUUUUCUAUACUUUACAAAAUUAAAAUAAAUGCCAUUAAUUUUUAUAUAUUUACUGGUACCAAAACAUGCGUGUAGGUCUCUGGGGAAAACAAUUGCAUAUGCAUGCACUAGCAAACGUUAGAAAGGAAGUGUUUCUUUUUUCUUUUCUUUUUUCCUAAAUAUUUUGUAGAACACAUACAUUAUUGCUAGUAUAUUCAAAGAAUUUAGAAGAAAAAAAAGGCAGAAGUUACUAAUUAAAUAACUUGAAAGAUGUUUCACGUUUUUGUAUACACAUUGAUCAAAUCAAGAGAAUCAAGUUUCCCUUUUUGCUCAUUUCAUUGAACAUGUUUUUUUGUUUGUACGUAGUAAGAGAAAUAUCAAUAGACUACUAAAAGUGAGUUUUUAACAUUUUUUAAUUGAAAAAUAUAUACAAAAAUAUAUACUCUUUGAAACUCGAACUAUGAGGAUGUGAAGAAAUGUCUCGCAUCGAAAAUUUAAGAGAACUAGCAUGAGCUUAUAAAGAGUUAAACUACUUAUGUUUUAGGGGUGGAAGUUCAACUUCCUUCAUGAUAUUCAUAACAAGUGCCGAAAAAGAUUGUUUGCCAGUUUUUUUCUCUUUCAAUAAAGUUGUGAAAUUUUAUUUAUUUAUUCUUUUAUUUAUUUUUUUAUAUACAAAUGAUAGUUUACUUUAAUCUAAUAUAAACUAUGAACAAAAUUAUUCGAAUUUAAGUGCGGAAUAAGGAGUGGUUGGCCACAGCGGAUGUCUGCUCUUCUUCUGUUUUCUUGAGCGUUGAAAAUGCAAGUUAGUUUUGAUAUAGAUAUUUGAAAAAGAAGGUCAAGCACAUGGAGGUCCAAGCGCCCAGGGGUCAUUCCCCUUGAUUUGCGGUUAUCCUUACAAUUGACUGUGUACUUGGCUCCCAUUAAUAAUUUUUUGACUGUGACUAUAGUGCUUGGACCCACCGCCCCACGUACACUUCCACACUUACACAUGCUGCGAGAGCUUAUACUUUUAAAUUCACAGUAAAUGCGAUAAGGCUUAAUAUCACAAAACGUCUUUAAGAUUUACAAAACUAUCAGAUUGUAUCUUUAAUGUAUUUUUUUGUCACUCGUGGUCCUCAAGGUUAGUAUAUGCAAUCACAAAUGGUCCUUCCCUGCUCUUAGGUUCCGUUAAAAACUCUGUUAGUUUGUUGACGUGGCAUAUAUAUAUCACAAAAAAUUUCUGAGGUUCAUACACCUUUCACAAAUGGUCCCUACAAUUCAUAAAAUUUUUAAUCUUGAGGACCAUUUAUGAACCCUAAAUCUUUAGUUUUUUCAUUUUAAAUUAUUUUCAAAAAACUCCAUUAGUUUGUUGAUGUGGCAUAUAUAUGGAGCUCACAUCUACAACAAUAUAGUGUCACAUGUAUUUAAAAUAUAAUACAUAAACCAAAAUUUUAUGAAUUUUAAAUUAAAAAAUUAAAAAAUUUCGGAGGGACCAUUUGUGAUAGGUGCGUGAAUCUCAGGGAUGUUUUGUGAUAUAUAUAUAUAUAUAUAAAUGUCACGUCAGCAAACUAACUAAGUUUUUUACGAAACCUAACAACAUGGAUCAUUUGUGAUCAUACAUACUAACCUUGAAGACCACGAAUGAUACAAAAAAAAUUAAGGAUGCAAUCUGAUAGUUUCGUAAACCUUAAUGAUGUUUUGUGAUAAUAAGCCAAAGCGAUAAUAAUGAAGGAUAAAACAAGUACAAAAAUCAAACAAUAUACUAGAAGAUUAGGCGAGUCUCUCUAUAUUAAAUGGGAGCAUACUUCGGUAAGUAUAUUACUCCUCAAACCAAACAUUUAAAUUAGAAUUGAGCCCGUAUUAGUCACUCUCAUCCUCUCAAACAGAUUCCAUAUAAGGCAUCUAAAGUAAAUCUCACAUGAAUCGCACACAACUACAUAUUUCAAGUAAAUAUGAGAAUAUUUUCACUCCCUAAGGCGUCUGAGCUUUAGCUUGCUUUGUAUUUUAUAAAUUAUAAUGGACCUGAAGUUACUAAGCACCGCUAAGUACUAACCUCCCAUCUUUUUCUUCAUUGCAUAUGUAUGAGCAAAGAAAAUGGUAUUGUAUGGGAAUUAUGCUCGUGAUUAUAUAUAGAGAGUGUUUUUAUUUCCACCCAUAUUCUACUUUUUCACUCACCUCAUAUUCACAACUCCGAUUAAUUUUUUUUAUAAAUAAAAACACUCUGCUUCUCUCUCACCGUUAUUCCUAAAAUAUUCUUAAUGUAUCAAAUCAAUCAUGCUAAACACGCUUCUCACUUUUAAGAUAAUCAUCUCACCUCCAUUCUUCCUCUUCUUUUUUUUUCUUCUCCCAAAUCCUUUUUCCUCGAAAUUUUGUGUUCAUCUUUAAGUUGAGAAAGAGCCAAUUUAUAAUUUCCUACCAUGAAGUCCAUUAUUGAAAUGUUAGGGAGAGGUGUGGAGAAAUGAUGGAGUUUGGUAUGCAUGUAUGUCACUCUGAAAUCCAUUCAACUCCAACAUUUAUGAAUUCUUUCAAAAUUAUUGACAUUUUGAAUAAACCAAAGACUCUUACACAUUCGUUUAAAAUUCUUAUUGAAUAUAUCUAAAUUAUUAAUUUUUUUUUCCAAUAUAAAUGAUAAUCUAAACUAUAGAAAACAGAGAAUUUUAACACACACUACCGAUGCAAGGCAAAAAUGAAAUUAUGAAUUAUGAAGAUGUAGGCCUCUAAAGUAAGACUAAAUGAAAUAAAAUGUGUCGGAAAAUCAACCACGCUGCUUCUUAGGAAGACACGGAAAUUGUAGGCCACAACAACAACACAACACAACCUCAUAAGUCCUAAGAUUUGAUUUGAGAGCAAUCAAAUGGGCGUGCAGCUCAUGCACGAGUGCACACAAAGACACAACCGUAAUUUAACAGACGCAUGCAUGUGCACACAUGGAUGGGACCCACAUUUGUCCUCUAAAGGUUUGCUGCCCUACAAUAGCUUCAAUGAUGGGGGUAUUUAGUUUAUUAGAUACUAAUAUAUAGUUAACUAAAAAAAUUAGGGAAGCUGACGGGUCUAGCUCAAAAAAAAUGAUAUUGACUUGUAAAUUAAUGAUUUCAGGUUCGAACAGUCAUAGCUCUUUAGUAGUGUGUGUAAGAAAUUCAUACCUCGUAAUUUAGAUUAUCGCUUGUAUAAAAAAAAAACAAAAAGAGAUUAAGGAACAGAAAGAAAAUUAAUAAUAUCUCAAGCAACAUGAUGUUUUCAAUAUUUUGGUUUGGGCCACACUUGAUGCUGUACUUUAUUAAGGGUUGAGGGCCUUGUUUUAUACUUUUAAUCUUUCUUUUUGUUUCUUGCUGUUUUGAGUCAAAAGCAACUCAACUCUGUCGAUUGAAAUAGCUCAGCUGAAUAAUUUGAUAACUUAGAAAACAUUUAAUUUUUUGCUUUUCUGGUCAGCUCAGUUGAUUUCUCUUUGCAUACAAAUUGGAAAAAAAAAACCUACAGGCCAACCAACAACCAUAGAAUCUAGUCCAUUGUGGGAUGAGAAGAUUGACAAUUCCAAGCAUUAGAUAUGAUCAAUAUGAGAAAUUCUAUGUUAGAUAUGAGAAAAUUCUACAACGAAGUUAGGCAAUAGGCAAUCAAGUAGUAGAUAUUGUGUAACAAAGAAUGAGACUGCCAACGAAUGGACUAGUGUGUAAAUGCAAAUUCUAGAAAAUGAUAUAACUUUAUAUUUUAAUUAGGCUAAGUCACGAAGAAAACCAAAAAUUAAAAAGAAGAAUGAAAUAUCGAGCUUAGAUCUAAACCAACAAACAACCAAAUCAAACCACCGAAUAAUGGAUGGUUUGGUUUGGUUUUUCCUCUGAUUUUAGCUCAAACGAAAAUUAAUUAAUUUGACCGCAAUUCAAACGUGACACCAAUUCAAAGUGGACAGCGUCCAUCCCUAACUAGUAAAAAGUUUAAGCAUUGAUUUUUAUGUUUUGAUUCACUUAGAAAGGGAGUUCAAUUUCAAACCCCGUUGUGAAGGUGCAUUGUCAUUGAAGCGAGUGACAGCCUAUUUUGAUUGGAUAAGCAAAAGCCAUAAAGCCCUCCUGUUAAUAAGAUUAAUUAAAUCCAAAUUUAGAUCUAACCUUCCCCCUCUUGUGUAGUCCUACAUAGAAUCUAUAUAUACAUUUGUACGUAGCACCAUGUUUAUUUCGUACAUAGUUUAAUUUUAAUUGCAGACUUUGCUUGAAGAAGAUGAGACUAGCUAGGGUGUCUUAAGAGUGCCUGAGAAGCGACCAAAGCCUUAAUUUAAGGGCAUCAUUACAUCACUAACUGGGUAUCAUAUUGCUUGAUGGACUUUUGGUUUUAAAAAGUUGGUUCAAAUAAAAAGUUAAAAAAUUGGAAAACCUAUUUGACAUGCUUGGUAUAUGGUAACGGACACUGCUUGUCAUUCCUCAUUGUAAAUUGCAUUUUCAUACAUAUACAAAAAUAAUUCAUUGAAAAUUUAAAAAGAAAAUUUUAUGUGCACAUAUUCAACUGAUUCCUACUUCUAGAAGAAGAAUAUAAGUAUUUUCCUAUUGUAAUGAUGUUUCUUCAUUGUAAUUCAAAUUGAUAAGAUUAUGUGAGUGCUAGGGAACGGAGAAGACAACAAUACUAUUUGGAUACAGAAAAAUGCUCUCUGUUUUUCUUUUGUACUUUUCCUUCAUUUUUUUGAACAAUUGUGCUUCUCCCUCUGGCAUCCUGCGUGAGCAACACAAUUUCUCUGCACAAUUGAGUAACAAUUUUGAGAUGGAAAAUACUUUUCUUCUUAUCAAGUCAGUGUGACAUGCGUGCAUAAGUUUUCCUUUUUGUGUUUUUGAUGAAUUAUUUUUGCAUAUGUGUCAAAUUGUAAUUCGAAGGAGAAAAAAAUAUCUCCUUACCGAUAAGAAGGCAAGUAAUAUCCUUUUGAGAUACAGGAAAUGAUAUUGUUGUUAGUUAGAUGAAAUUCUUAAACUAAUUUUAUGACUAUCCAAAUAAUUUAAAUUGUAAUUUUCGUUAUUUCUUAAAUUUUACAUGCAUCGAAACCUAAUUUGAAAUUUGAAAUGAAAAUUGGAAUUACAUCAUCCAGGCCAAACAUAUGAUAGGACAUCAGUCCAUUCUAGGACCCAAAGUUGGCAUAGGUUGUACGUGACUAGGCCACACACAAAUUACCAUUAAGUUUCUUUUAUGACCUGGGCCACACUCAUUCGUCAAGAGCUUCCGCGAGUGUUUGAACUUUUAGACCUAUAGGUUUGAUUUUGUCAUCACAAGAUAUCAGUCCUGAUCUCUUGGACCACAGGAGNNNNNNNNNNNNNNNNNNNNNNNNNNNNNNNNNNNNNNNNNNNNNNNNNNNNNNNNNNNNNNNNNNNNNNNNNNNNNNNNNNNNNNNNNNNNNNNNNNNNCUUCCAUCCACGGUUUAUCGUUUCAAAUUACUAUUAUGCACCUUAUUCCUCUGUCACUCACCUACCUCUUGCUACUAUAGUUAGUGAAUUGUCCUUGUUGCUUUUUAACCUCCCGGUUAAGGAUCAGUUCUCUCUUCUUUGAGACAGGCAACAUACUAAUACCAAUAGUUUCUAUAUUUUGUGUAGAGAUUGACUGAAUCGUAGAAUUUACAGCCAACGGUGAGUCACUACAAAUCUCUUGGACUCCUGUGGUCCAAGAGAUCGGGACUGCACAAGAUAUAACACACACAUAUAUAAUUAAAGCAUAAACAACACGAAAUAAAGUGGAUAAAGGAAAAUUCAUAUCAUUCAUGUUUCCAUGAUAAUUGUACUCUAACCACCAACCUACAAGAUAUUACAAGAAAACAACAAUUUAGCCACUAACAUCUGUUUCUGUAGCAUAGGAUGAGAUGAUUAAAGGCACUAUAGUGCAUUAUAGUACAAUAGACACGAAUAAACCGAGGAUGUUAGCUAUUAGGUAUUAAUUAUAGCCAUCUUAUUAUGUGUUACGAGUGUUGUAUAUCUUCUUAUAGUGAGAAAAAUUAACAAUGGACAUGGUUGGACACGAAUAACUGUACUAACUACGUUAGUACCAUAAAGAGUAUACUAGUGAUUUGUCCCCCAAACUUGUACCUAAUUUUCGAUUGAUCCCCUAUCCUUUUUUUUUUUAUAAUAGAAAAUUAAGGAUAUGAACUUCUUUUUUUUGCUAAUUUCUCCCUUGCCGUCUAAAUUUGCAACAUUUCAUCCAAUUUGCCGUUAAAUAUGAGGGCAAAAUGGUCAUUUUGUACAUUAAAAAUAAAUAAAUAAAUAAAAAAUACUCUCUCUCUCUCUCUCUCUCUCUCUCUCUCUCUCUCUCUCUCUCUCUCUCUCUCUCUCUCUCUCUCUCUCUCUCUCUCUCUCUCUCUCUCUCUCUCUCUCUCUCUCUCUCUCUCUCUCUCUGCAAGUGUAGAUGAAGAAAACCCAAGGGGGAGGUGGUAAAAAAACAUAAGGGAGGAGGUGAGGGCACGGGUCUGUGGGGGUGGGGGAUUGGUUUGGUAGUGGAGGGUUGUGGUCAUGGGGGAAUGGGAGGAGAAGAAAAACCCAUAGGAGAGGGGGGGUGGACUAGGUUUAGGGGAUGAAAAUACAUAAAGGGUAGGUGUGGGGAAGGGUCUGUGGGGGUGGGGGAUUGGUCUGGGAGUAAAGGAUGGUGGUCAUGGGGGAAUGGAAGGAGGAAGGGAGGAGAUGGAAGGGGUUGGCAUUAGGUUUACUCUUUUUCUUCAAUUUUUUUUUAAAAAAUAAUUUUUAAUUGAAAAUUGGAUGAAAUGUUGAGAAUUUGGACGGUAGGAGGGAAAUUAGCGAAAAAAAGAAGUUCAUAUUCUUAAUUUUCUAUAAAUAAAAAAAAAAGAAUUAGGGGUCAAUUGAAAGCUAGGUACAAGUUCAGGGAGUAAAUUACUAGUAUACCCUACCAUAAAUAUCAGGGUCUAUUGUCCGUUUUUUCUUGUAAUGAACUUAAUCCGGUUGUAAUUACAAUCAUAUCAACUGUUCAAAUGGGGGCCAAGUAGUGUACUUUAUAUUAUUGGGUUGUAGCAAACAAGUUUAGAAAAUAAUGCAUGAAAGGAGACGAGAAAAAAUUACGAAUAAAGUGGAUUAAUGGGUCGAGGAUAAUAACGUUUUCACUACUCUUUUUGGUGACUUAGCUUGUCACAUUAGAGGAUAAAGAGUAGUUGGGAGAAGUUGAUUAGGGCAUUGCAAUAACGUUUUCUUGAUGCAUGACCUAUAACCUAUGGCUGAUGGAUGAUCAUGUCCUUUUCAUGCAAAAUGUUAAUCUCCAUAAGAUACAAGCGCAAAACUACAACAAUCUUGUGCAAUAUCUUUAUAGAAAUAAUAAUAUAGAAAGAGAAUUACCAUCAAAUUAAGAGGUAGUUAGAUGCAUAUAUUCUCCGUGAAAAAUAAGAAAAAAAAUUUGUUAUAAUUUGUCAUUUAAUUCUUAAGAUUGUCGGCAAGCAUGAAAAAAAGUUUUCCAUAUUAUCCAAAUACAUAAGUCAAUGUUAAUGGAAACUAUACCAUAUUCAUGUUUAAUCAUUUUGCACAUCCACUCACUCACUCGUAGUACAACCAUUUGCAAAGAGGAAAGAUAAGGAUAGAUGAUUGAUUGAUUGAUAUGAAUGAUCAAAACCCACAUCUAAACAACAGCAAUCAUACAUUUAUGCCUUUAUUUACACUCCUGCAAAGAUAGAAAUUAAAUAAAGUACAAAGGUAAGUACUACACAGAUUUGCAUCUCUCUCUCCUUUCUUUCGCAAGUUGAAUAUUGCUAUCUCUUUGCACAUCAAGGGCGCGCCAGAAUGAUUUUUCUCGUUAGACUCCAUAUGAAGUGGCCAGAAGUCUGAGGAUAUUCACCUUAGCUUCUAAGAGAAAGAUGUAAUUAGCAAUCUCUUGGAACAUGGUUUCUGGAUUGCUGCUGUUAAUGAUGCAUCCUGGGAUGAGCUUCUGGAGCUGCAUAAGUUUCCUUUCUAUGGAAGAUUUGGCGGCCUUAGAGUUCCCAAUCAAGGAAAGCCUUAGCUUUCUCUUCUUGGACCCAACUCUCCAUAUUGAACUCCUUGUUCUCAUUUUUGAGUGUGUUUGAGAGAGAGAGAGAGAGAGAGAGAGAGAGAGAGAGAGAUGCAUUCAUAAGGGGGGGUAAGGGGGUGUUUAUAUAAGCCAAAACGAGACACUUCACAUCACUCGUCGUGUAUUGCAUUCUGACUAUUCUAAUCAUCUUAAUUUAUCACAUGAUUCAUUGGUACUACAAGUUUUCAUGAACCUCUUCUCCAACUUUUACAUAAAUAUGUACUUGCAUUAAACUUGCAUCUAUUCUAUUAUCAAGUCUGAGACUAAUUAAUCAAAAUUAAUAGUAUCUCUCCUUUAAAUGUUAGAAGACGUCCCAAGUUCGAAU